UGGGGAAUUUUGGACAAUGGGCGAAAGCCUGAUCCAGCAAUGCCGCGUGUGUGAAGAAGGCCUUCGGGUUGUAAAGCACUUUUGUCCGGAAAGAAAUGGCUCUGGUUAAUACCUGGGGUCGAUGACGGUACCGGAAGAAUAAGGACCGGCUAACUACGUGCCAGCAGCCGCGGUAAUACGUAGGGUCCAAAGCGUUAAUCGGAAUUACUGGGCGUAAAGCGUGCGCAGGCGGUUGUGCAAGACCGAUGUGAAAUCCCCGAGCUUAACUUGGGAAUUGCAUUGGUGACUGCACGGCUAGAGUGUGUCAGAGGGGGGUAGAAUUCCACGUGUAGCAGUGAAAUGCGUAGAGA
This 350-nucleotide ribosomal RNA is filed under the name uncultured bacterium. RNAcentral describes it as "bacterial SSU rRNA". It matches the Rfam family "Bacterial small subunit ribosomal RNA", at positions 355 to 696 of the family's 1533-position model. The record is from RNAcentral.